AACGAACGCUGGCGGCAGGCCUAACACAUGCAAGUCGAACGCACCGCAAGGUGAGUGGCGCACGGGUGAGUAACACGUGGGAAUGUACCCUUUGGUUCGGAAUAACGUUUGGAAACGAACGCUAAUACCGGAUGAGCCCUGUGGGGGAAAGAUUUAUCGCCAAAGGAGCAGCCCGCGUCUGAUUAGCUAGUUGGUGGGGUAAAGGCCUACCAAGGCGACGAUCAGUAGCUGGUCUGAGAGGAUGAUCAGCCACACUGGGACUGAGACACGGCCCAGACUCCUACGGGAGGCAGCAGUGGGGAAUAUUGGACAAUGGGCGGAAGCCUGAUCCAGCCAUGCCGCGUGAGUGAUGAAGGCCUCGGGUUGUAAAGCUCUUUCGCACGCGACGAUGAUGACGGUAGCGUGAGAAGAAGCCCGGCUAACUUCGUGCCAGCAGCCGCGGUAAU
This 446-nucleotide ribosomal RNA is filed under the name uncultured bacterium. RNAcentral's name for it is "bacterial SSU rRNA". It matches the Rfam family "Bacterial small subunit ribosomal RNA", at positions 29 to 524 of the family's 1533-position model. The record is from RNAcentral.